AUUGAACGCUGGCGGCAGGCCUAACACAUGCAAGUCGAGCGGAUGAAGGGAGCUUGCUCCUCGAUUCAGCUGCGGACGGGUGAGUAAGUCCUAGGUAUCUGCCUGGUAUUGUUGGCUAACGUCCGGAAACGGGCGCUAAUACCACAUACGUUCUGAUGUAGAAAGGGUUGGAUCUUCGGACCUCACGCUAUUAGAUGAGACUAGGUCGGAUUAGCUAGUUGGUUUGGUAAAGGCCUACCAAGGCGACGUUCCGUAACUGGUCUGAGAGGAUGAUCAGUCACACUGGAACUGAGACACGGUCCAGACUCCUACGGGAGGCAGCAGUGGGGAAUAUUGGACAAUGGGCGAAAGCCUGAUCCAGCAAUGCCGCGUGUGUGAAGAAGGUCUUCGGAUUGUAAAGCACUUUAAGUUGGGAGGAAGAGCAGUAAGUUAAUACCUUGAUGUUUUGACGUUACCAACAGAAUAAGCAACGGCUAACUUCGUG
This 484-nucleotide ribosomal RNA is filed under the name uncultured bacterium. RNAcentral's name for it is "partial 16S ribosomal RNA". It matches the Rfam family "Bacterial small subunit ribosomal RNA", at positions 30 to 507 of the family's 1533-position model. The record is from RNAcentral.